This 489-nucleotide long non-coding RNA is filed under the name Sinocyclocheilus grahami. RNAcentral describes it as "lncRNA (ENSSGRG00000002125.1)". The record is from RNAcentral. Lineage: Eukaryota; Metazoa; Chordata; Actinopteri; Cypriniformes; Cyprinidae.
CGGCACUCUAUAGCUUUUGUUUCCAUAGCAACUACGGUGGACGCGAAUGUACAAACAUGAGGUGAACAGAGAAGAAGGACGAAAUGUGUUUAUGCUCUGUCGUCAUCAUUAGUAUUUUUAUACCGUUGCAAUGACACCGAUAUAGUUUACUUCAGCCUCUACUGUUGCUUCGCUCACAAAUACCCCGUUUUCCCAGGGCGUUGGUAGAUUUGUUCCCGGACUUAUAAUGAUGGAUGACAUCGAACAGGCAAUAGAUGAGGAGCUGAUGAAAUUAAACCUACAUCCUUCUGAAAAUGAUUCAGAAUCAGACGAUGAUAACUUCACUGUUUUGGAUGGAAAUACUUCUCAAGCCAGAACCUGUCUCACCUUAAUCACAAUGAACCAGCUUCAGUUUUCACAGACGACCCCAUGAAGUGGAAAGACCGAGUGAGUCAUGGUUAUUUGUUUGCAGUUAAAUGGAAAUGGUAUUCCAUCUGAGGCAUAACAGAG